UCACGCAGCCGGGGAGAUAGCGGUGCCCUGUAUCUGCAAUCCGCUUUAGCAGAGGUGAUGCCCUGCCCAGGGUAUUUCAUCGCAUAGCCGCCCUUUUUCGUAGGUGUUGAAGCCGGGGUCCCGCGCAAUAGGAAUCUGUGAACCGUGUCAGGGUAGGAAUACAGCAGCACUAAGCAGAACCUUCUAUGUGCCGUGGGGUUGCCUUAGCGGAGCUUCCGGAAAAGGUAGCGUGUGUCUUGAAUAUUCAAAGCAGGGCGCGUGG
Molecule: signal recognition particle RNA, 262 nt
Filed under: Eubacteriales bacterium
Lineage: Bacteria; Bacillati; Bacillota; Clostridia; Eubacteriales
Description: signal recognition particle sRNA large type
Rfam family: Bacterial large signal recognition particle RNA
About the family: The signal recognition particle (SRP) is a universally conserved ribonucleoprotein involved in the co-translational targeting of proteins to membranes.
Source: RNAcentral